UUUGGUUUUCCAUUGCUUUCA
Non-coding RNA from Caenorhabditis elegans, 21 nucleotides. The record is from Ensembl. NCBI's taxonomy places the organism in Eukaryota, Metazoa, Nematoda, Chromadorea, Rhabditida, Rhabditidae.